AUGAACGCUGGCGGCGUGCCUAAUACAUGCAAGUCGAGCGAACAGACGAGGAGCUUGCUCCUCUGACGUUAGCGGCGGACGGGUGAGUAACACGUGGAUAACCUACCUAUAAGACUGGGAUAACUUCGGGAAACCGGAGCUAAUACCGGAUAAUAUAUUGAACCGCAUGGUUCAAUAGUGAAAGACGGUUUUGCUGUCACUUAUAGAUGGAUCCGCGCCGCAUUAGCUAGUUGGUAAGGUAACGGCUUACCAAGGCAACGAUGCGUAGCCGACCUGAGAGGGUGAUCGGCCACACUGGAACUGAGACGCGGUCCAGACUCCUACGGGAGGCAGCAGUAGGGAAUCUUCCGCAAUGGGCGAAAGCCUGACGGAGCAACGCCGCGUGAGUGAUGAAGGUCUUCGGAUCGUAAAACUCUGUUAUUAGGGAAGAACAAAUGUGUAAGUAACUAUGCACGUCUUGACGGUACCUAAUCAGAAAGCCACGGCGAACUACG
This 494-nucleotide ribosomal RNA is filed under the name uncultured bacterium. RNAcentral's name for it is "partial 16S ribosomal RNA". It matches the Rfam family "Bacterial small subunit ribosomal RNA", at positions 29 to 505 of the family's 1533-position model. The record is from RNAcentral.